Molecule: ribosomal RNA, 484 nt
Filed under: uncultured bacterium
Lineage: Bacteria
Description: bacterial SSU rRNA
Rfam family: Bacterial small subunit ribosomal RNA
Source: RNAcentral
CAGGAUGAACGCUAGCGGCAGGCUUAACACAUGCAAGUCGAGGGGGUAGAGGAAGCUUGCUUCCUUGAGACCGGCGCACGGGUGCGUAACGCGUAUACAAUCUACCUUUCACAGAGGGAUAGCCCAGAGAAAUUUGGAUUAAUACCUCAUAGUAUAGCAGUUUCGCAUGAAACCACUAUUAAAGUCACAACGGUGAAAGAUGAGCAUGCGUCCCAUUAGCUAGUUGGUAAGGUAACGGCUUACCAAGGCAACGAUGGGUAGGGGUCCUGAGAGGGAGAUCCCCCACACUGGUACUGAGACACGGACCAGACUCCUACGGGAGGCAGCAGUGAGGAAUAUUGGACAAUGGGCGCAAGCCUGAUCCAGCCAUGCCGCGUGCAGGAUGACGGUCCUAUGGAUUGUAAACUGCUUUUAUACAGGAAGAAACACUACUUCGUGAAGUAGCUUGACGGUACUGUAAGAAUAAGGAUCGGCUAACUCCGUG